ACAGGUGAGGGAGGUCAGGUUCCCUCAGCUCUGCUUCACCUUCACAGAACUGAGGCUCCAACAACAACAUGGAUCCGGUGUCUCCUCAUGGCCCUCUUCUCAAAGCUUGGGACCAGAGACUCUGUGAGGCCCGAGAGGUCACAGGUGACACUCAUCAAUCUCAGGAGGAUGGAAGUGAGAAAAGAGAACCAGAGGCUCAGUGUUUCAUGUGUGUUUUCCUUGCAGCCUCGUGGCCCCACUGACUCAGGCAUCAUCUUUAGGGACUGGAGACAAAUCCAAGUGACAGUCCCCAAGCCAGAUGGAGCCCCCCCCCCCCCCCCCCGGCAGCCACAACCUUGUUCCUGGGCUGAAUUCUUCUACUCCAGUCUCUCCUGUCCCUCAGGGGGAGGCUGGCCCAGGCUGCCCCUCACUCUCACCCAGCACCGGGCAGAGCAGCGUGACUGCCUGGUCCGACAAGCCCCAGCCGUGCUCUCCUUGAAUCGCCACAAGUCGAGGUAGAAUUUAGCGGAAGACCGCUGCAACCCUCCGAGGCAGUCCUCCAUCGCUCCGGCUCCUGACAGCUAAGCUUUGGGUCACCUCACCUGGCAACAAUUCUGCCCCAUUGAGAUGCUUGCUUAAGGCCAGGAGAACUCGGACUGGAUGUUGGAGUUAGCCUCCUAAGAAUGUGGUCCUGGGAUGAAGCUCAUCAGCUGGUGGUUGGAGCAGGCUCACCUGGGACUCGUGUCUGGUUUGUUAAGCAGUGCAAACUCAAGUGUGUUCCAUCUCUCUUCUCCUCCCUGGGUUUGGCUGUCUAAGCUUGGAGCUUGAUGCCCUCAGACCGUGGGAUAGGUCUCCUUCCCUUUCUGUCUACAAUAUAGAGCGCAGCUGCACAACCUCAGUCUGGUGGGGGGAAUGAAGGCAUAUUAGCAUUUCCCCCCACAGUUUCAGGGUUGCUGCGUUGCGUAACUCCCGGGACGACGACUCAGGCUGCAGUCCAGGAGAAUAGUGCCCCCUGGUGCUGUGCAGUCUGCAGGCUCUGCAGCACUGUGCACAACUGCUCUUUGCCUGCUGAUGGUUGCUCUGCAGAUGACUCCUCCUCCUCUGCCUCCCGACUUCCCAGGAAUUUCCAGGAAUGUCCUUCCUUGAACAAAAUAAACCCCUCACUUUCUUCCAUUCUGACUUCUCAGUCCUGGUCUGACCCUUGCAAGGCCAGUUGAGUAUGGAAACUCACCAGCCACUCCUGGCCCCAGGGCACUGUCUCCUGAUUGCAGUAUCUUCUUCAAAAUUCAUGAUACCAGUCCAAGCAUGAGAAAAGUAUCAGAUGAAUACAAAUCGAGAGGCAUUCUACAAAAUAUCAGACCAGAGGAGACUAAGUCGAUGUCACAUUCCAGAGGAGAGUGAGGAGAUACAACAGAUGCAAUGUGGUCUCCAGGAUUGGAUACUGCAACAUAAAAAGGAAAUCAGUGGAAAAACUAGUGAAGGUCAAAUAAAUUCUGUUCUUUUGGUUAAUAGUAAUGUGCCAAUAUUGAUUUCUUAGUUUUGCCCACAAUACCACGGUUACAU
Molecule: long non-coding RNA, 1542 nt
Filed under: Equus caballus (horse)
Lineage: Eukaryota; Metazoa; Chordata; Mammalia; Perissodactyla; Equidae
Description: lncRNA (ENSECAG00000048299.1)
Source: RNAcentral